GACGAACGCUGGCGGCGUGCUUAACACAUGCAAGUCGAACGGAAAGGCCCUGCUUUUGUGGGGUGCUCGAGUGGCGAACGGGUGAGUAACACGUGAGUAACCUGCCCUUGACUUUGGGAUAACUUCAGGAAACUGGGGCUAAUACCGGAUAGGAGCUCCUGCUGCAUGGUGGGGGUUGGAAAGUUUCGGCGGUUGGGGAUGGACUCGCGGCUUAUCAGCUUGUUGGUUGGGUAGUGGCUUACCAAGGCAUUGACGGGUAGCCGGCCUGAGAGGUGGACCGGCCACAAUGGGACUGAGAUACGGCCCAGACUCCUACGGGGGGCAGCAGUGGGGAAUAUUGCCCAAUGGGCGGAAGCCUGAUGCAGAGACGCCGCGUGCGGGAUGACGGCCUUCGGGUGGUAAACCGCUUUAGCCUGUGACGAAGCGUGAGUGACGGUAAUGGGUAAAGAAGCACCGGCUAACUACGUG
This 468-nucleotide ribosomal RNA is filed under the name uncultured bacterium. Its description in RNAcentral is "partial 16S ribosomal RNA". It matches the Rfam family "Bacterial small subunit ribosomal RNA", at positions 28 to 507 of the family's 1533-position model. The record is from RNAcentral.